Long non-coding RNA from Diachasma alloeum, 394 nucleotides. RefSeq lists it as uncharacterized. Lineage: Eukaryota; Metazoa; Arthropoda; Insecta; Hymenoptera; Braconidae. The record is from RefSeq and is a predicted model, not a curated record. The transcript is spliced from 4 exons.
GUACCGUGUGAGGAUUAAGUGGACGCUGCAAAUUUUUGCUUUAUUUACCAAAAUAAUUGGUGAAAUCCUAAUAAACUUCGACGCUGAUCCUGCAUACUUCAAUCACCCACGUAUUACCAACAAUCCAAUUUAUCAAUUACUGCUUGACAGUACUGACGGGAAGACUAUCAUAGCUGCAUACAGGAACGAUGGAAGUCUAUCGAAAAAUACUCGAUGUUUGCUGACUCGCCUGGUCAUCGCACAGGAGAAAGAUCGACAGUUCAGGGACGUUUUUCGACAAGAAGGAAUUACCUACUUGAGACAAUUCAAGAUAACGUCUGCUAAGUUCACCACUUGGGCCACACAGAUUGCAGAAGUGUUCAUUGGUGAAAGCGUUUUCGUCUAUUAUACUCCA